AAGUCGUAACAAGGUUUCCGUAGGUGAACCUGCGGAAGGAUCAUUAUCGAUUCAACACAAAUGAGAAGGGAGUCGUUUGCAGUUGUGCUGGCCUCCGACAAAGGGGCAUGUGCACGCUCGACUUCUCCUUUUCUUCAUUUACACACCUGUGAACCUGUUUGUAGGGUGUCUCGCAAGGGAUGCUCUAUGUCUUUUUCAUAUACUCCAUCGUAUGUUUAUAGAAUGUAUCUUUUUGCUCUCGUCAGAGACAAAAGUAAAGCCUUUAUAACUUUCAGCAACGGAUCUCUUGGCUCUC
Molecule: unclassified non-coding RNA, 295 nt
Filed under: air metagenome
Description: partial contains small subunit ribosomal RNA, internal transcribed spacer 1, and 5.8S ribosomal RNA
Rfam family: Eukaryotic small subunit ribosomal RNA (bases 1-46)
Source: RNAcentral